UGCAUGAAGGGAUGAAGUGGCAGGAGAAAUGAAGUCUUCCUAACUCUGGCCUCCUGCUGCUACACAAGCCAGGCCAAUGAUGUGGCAAGUCCAAGGGGCACAUGGCUUUUCAGUGUCAUUGUUUGAGGAGGCCAUGAGUGGUUUAGCUGGUGGCCUCUGCUUCUUUUUCUUUUGAGUGCUUCUGAAUACAUGACUGUGCUCUGAAUACAGAGCUACCACUGCGGGGUAAACCAAGCCACAGCUGUCCUCUUCCAAGGUUAGGGUCGCUGCUCAGCAGGAGCUGAUGUGCUACAAGGAAUGAUGAUCUUCUACUGGACAACAGAACCAGGCCUCCUGACUGCCCCUCCCUGCGCUCCGGGCCUGCAGAAGGCGCCUGAUGUGACUUCGCAUUAUUUUGAAGCUGGAAAGGCAGACAUUUUAAGCCCUAAAGAGGUUUUGCCUUCUGAGGAGCUCAGGAGCUGAGGAGACCCGCAGGGACAUCUGGCUGGUGUCCUCCCCACGACUCUGGAGGAAAGAAUAGAAUACCAAAAGGCGCUGAACAUCACCACACCCCCUGGGGCCAUGACAUCCUCGGUGAACCGUAGGACUGGGGGACUGAGGACGGGUGAUUCCAGAGCGUCUUGCAUCGUCGCGUUUGGAGGACGGUGAUCCUCAGUGACCACCAA
This 665-nucleotide long non-coding RNA is filed under the name Homo sapiens (human). RNAcentral's name for it is "HSALNT0338108". The record is from RNAcentral. Lineage: Eukaryota; Metazoa; Chordata; Mammalia; Primates; Hominidae.